AGCAGGUGCAAUGUACAGGUAGUGCACAAUGCUCUUUCUGCAUAAUAAUAAACAGAUCAUCUAAAUGUUAAGAUAUAGAGUAGGAAGAUGAGCAUUGUGCCCAACCAGUUAUGGCACUGAUGAGCACAUGUACUUUGGGUUUUGAUUGUCAGAGUUACUCCCCUUUUUUACUAAUAUGCCAUUUGCCUGUCAUGCAUAAUGAAACUGACUGGGAAAAGUGGAAGAAAAGCACAGAUAUAUGAUAUGUAAAUGGGGGAAAAGCAAAAGAUCACAGAGAACCCUGUAUCUCGGUUUGGGUCUUCCUUGGUGGAAAUGUUUUGUCUGACAGCCGAUGGUUUAGUUUAAUACAGUCCACUUCAACCAGACUGGAGAGAAGACACAUGCAACUAUCUGGCACGAGAUUGUAGAUAGCAGUUAGUGGUGUAUUUCAAACUUUUGAUGAAGGAUGACAAAAAGUUGGACUUUUAUAGUCUGGUUUGAUUUUUAACUGCUUGAGUGACUGGUAAAACAAAUGAUAUCCAAUGGAGUACUUCAAAAGACAGUCUGGUUCUGUUUCUUCAUAGAACAUUGAAAAAGCCUUUCGCCUUGACAUUUAAGCAAGUGUAAAGAAUACCUUAUUGAAGUUCUUCAGUAGAGAGACCACAAAAAAUAGAGGGACAUGCUGUACUACAACUUGUCAAACAGACCAUUAUAGCUGUCACAAAAUGGAGCAAACACUCAUAUCUGAAUAAACGUCAAAGUGCUUAGCUUGAUUUCCUUACUAAAACAUGAUGUUAAUCAAAGUUUAAAAGUUAUACAAUUUUUGUAUGUUUUAGCCCUCUACAUGAAAACAGGAAUCAUUGUAAUUCGGAAGUGAUGUCAGUGAAGUUGGACAUAAAAAGACCACAGUAUGAUAUACUGUAAUUACCAGUGAAGGAAACAGCAGUGCCAUAAGAAACUAUUCAAUACAUGUAUUUGGAAAAAUUAAAAAUUUAUAAUAAAACUGAAGUUAUCAUGUACAGUAAUUAUAAUUCAGGAUUUCAGAGUGGACUGAUUUACUGAAACUAUUGCAGUUUAGUAGCCAAGCACUUUCUUAAACUGUUGUAAUAGAUCACAAUUUCUUAUAGAUUAUUAUCAAAAACUUUUUAUCAGAUAAAAGUGGCUGUUGACACCUUAUUUGUGACUAGUGAAUUAAAAACUAAUAACUAGUAAGAUUCUUCUGGGAAACAAAUUGUCAUAAUGCCUUCUGAGCACAAGCAAACGUCUUUAGAUAUAGUAAAACAUGUACUGUGUUAUCUCAGGUUAUACAAAUGCAUUUUUAUAUAGUAAAAGAACUACCUUGU
Long non-coding RNA from Mercenaria mercenaria, 1322 nucleotides. RefSeq lists it as uncharacterized. The transcript has 5 exons. The record is from RefSeq and is a predicted model, not a curated record. Lineage: Eukaryota; Metazoa; Mollusca; Bivalvia; Venerida; Veneridae.